AUUUCAUAAGAAACCUCAAAGUGGCUCUAUUGCCUUAUAUUCCAUCCAGAUCCCAAUGCCAUUUUAAUAUCACUGACUAGCUUAUUCGAUACCUUUGGGGCAUCAUCUUCUUCGCUCCAAGAGAAGGCCACUAUCCAUCUGUCAUCGGCUAAUAGCACCAAUACGGGUAGAGUACUUGGCUAGCCUAAUUGCCGAGGAUAAGUCGGCAGAGAUUUCAACGUGGAAUCGGUAGUGAAGCCAGUAAUUGUCAUCGAAUGCUACCCCAGAGCCAAUCCAUAGAGCACUUCGGAAUUCUCUUCUGUAUCAUCACUAAGCACGUUCCCCGUUCACCAAUAUUUACCGUCUCAGCAUUUUCGAAGGGAAAGGAUUGAGUUCCCCAACGUAACGGCGGCAGAGGUGCCUUCCGGUCAAAGCAUAGUUCUUAUCCCUUCUGGUAGCCAAUCGGAAUAAAAGUAAAGCUAUCAAUGACAUUAGCUUUAAAAAUUGGUAACAAUGACGAAAAUGCUAGCUAUAAUCGCUUGCAUGGGGCAAUUCCAAUUAACAAAGCUAAUACAAAGUAGAAAGAGAGAGGUCGCAGAGAAAUUACGAGAGAGAGCACAGCGCAAAGGAAGAAUGCGACAGCAGGGCAAUACCUCACCAAAAAACAAGCUAGCCAUACCAAAGAAGCUAGCAUAGCUAGCGAGACUAAAUGCUUUAGAAAUUGCCUCAAAUAGCCAAGGUCGGUAUAGAGCUUGCCAGCAAAGCAAGCGAACAAAAAAACCUUUUUCUUUUGGAAGGAAUUAACCGAUACUAAUUCUGAUAGGUGUCAUAAUGUAUAGAUUCGUAAACCUAUAGCUAGACACAACUUAAAGAGUCAUCACCAAUCUUUUUUAAAGUGUGAUUGGUCACCUAAUGACUCUAUUCUUUUAAGGAGAUCCUAAGCUUGACUAUGGGUCCCUAAAGAAUAGGUUUUGACCUUUUGAACAAAACUAGGUUCGAUAGUUCAGUUAGAUGUAUGGAAGGUUAUAACACCCCUAAAAUGUCCAUCCUAAAGAUGGUACCAUUUAAUUUUAAAUUAUCCUAAAUUUUUAUAGUUCUAAUGGUCUUAAAUUUACUAUUAGGAAUAACUUUUAAGGUUUUCCAUCAAUCUGAUAAAAUUCUUAAAAAUACUUUCUCACCUCAAGAGCAUUCAAGAAUUAUAUUUGUUUUCUUGAAGAGGCUUCGUUGUCAAAAAAUAUAAUCAUUUAUUUAUUUAUUUGUUAAACUUUUAUUUUAUUGAAAAUAUAUUUAAUUCUUUCACCAUUUGGGCUAAAAUUAAAAAUAUUUUCUCACCUAGAAAUGUCUUAGAUAAUCAUCAAUUUGUGAUUACUAAGAAUUUUAUUCUCAAAAUUUAUUUUUUAUUUUACAAGUUUUAUUUAUUAUUAUUAUUUUUUGGCUUGGAAAUGAAUGCAAUUACUUUUAUUGAAGUUUCCUCUAAAUCAUUCCGCCAUUCAGAUUAAAUUUAAAGAAAUUUCUCAUAUAGAGAUUUAUUAGAAAAUUUACUAUUUAAAAAUUUUAAUAAUCUCAUCAUUGGAUAAUUGUCAAUUCAAUCCCAAAAUUUUAUUAAAAUUAUCUAUGUAUUUUUUUAUAAUUUGAAAAUAACUAUUAAUUAUUGUUAUUGGAACUUACCUAAAUUUUUCUCCAUUUGAGUCAAAUUUAAAAAAUUUCUUCACCUAAAACUUUUCUAUAAAUUAAUCAUUUGUAAUUUCUAAAAAUUUCAUCUUCUGAUAAUUAUAAUUUAUUUUUAAAAUUUUAAUAAAGUAUUAUUUUUAUAUUUUUUAAUGAUUUUUUUAUAAUUUUAAAAAAAGUUUCUAACAAUUUUCCUUAUAUAUAAAACUAAUCAAGCAAAGUGUAUCGCAAAAAAAAAAAAAAGAAAGAAAGAAAAUAAAUAAAAUGAAAAAAAUUUACCACAAAGAAAAUCAUAACUCAGCUUGGUGAAUAGAAGAGGGCUUAGCUACAGGCACAUGAAGUGGCUUACAGCUAAGCUUGGUGACUUACGGCUUGGCUUGGCUCAAAUGGAAAAGGAAACGAAUCAUAGGUUUUUAGCGCUUGAGUCGAGUCAGAAAGAAGGUAACACACGGAUCUAGUCUUUUUAUCCCAGUCAAAAUGACAUUGUUUUAAUAGCAAUAUAAAAGCUCUCUUUUACGUACUUUUUCACUUUUUAGAUUCUUUCCUCUCUCUCUCUCUAAACACUUCUUCACUCUUCUCUCUCUAUAAAGAGUUUACCAAAAAAAUUCAAGAACCAAGAACACGGUCAUCGUGUUCUUCAAAUUUCCAAAAUCCGACGGCACCAUGCUACUAUUGUUGCCACUUACCUGGUCAUCGUCGGUGCCACUCACUACAUUUAUUGGCUUCCAAAGUUUAGUAGCAAGUUCACCUUUAUCUCCUCAUGUUAGAUUUAGGCUUGGAUUUUUACGAAUCUUUUUCAAAAGGCCUGGAUCUAGAGCUAUAAGCUAUGACUUUUUUCACUGUCUCAGCCCAUUUCCACCAUCCAAUCAAAUUGAUUUUUAGAUAUGUUGCUCGUCAUCCUUUAUUCUCCCUUUUUAUUGUUUCGAUUUCCAAACAUCAUCUCCACCAUGGACUGUCACUGGCACUACCACUGUUGGGACAAAUAUUUCUGUAAACUUUAUAAUUUUUGUGUUUUAUGAGAUUGUUAAUGGUGUUUGACUCAUUUUUAUAAUUGCUUCUUCCUGACUUAGGUUUUGAAUUUCUGAUUGUGUCGCCCCUAUUGAUUCUCAAAUUGUGAUUAGUUCUAUUCUGGGAUUGUUGUAUUCUGUUUUUGGAAUCGCUUUAACCUUGAUUGUUUUCCCCUUGAUGAAAUUGAUUCUAUUAGUUUGUGUCGAUGAUUAUGGCAAUGGCAGUAUGUGAAUGGCUUGCUAGUUUUGUUGAUGAAUCUAUUAGUGCUUGGUCUUUCAGUGGUGGCAAUGAAUAAGGUAGAAGGAACUUGUAAUAAAAAUUUAAGGAGAUUAGUUUUGGCUUGAAUUUUGUUUUCUAUGAAUUAUUGUGAUGAUUGCCACCCUGAUAUAGGAAAUGAAUCAUCCUUUGAAUAGAACUCCAAGCUACCAAAUUUUUUGAAUUCUUGUCAUUUGAGUCUUUUCUUUUAUCUCAAUUCAAACUUGAUUUCAUAUCUCUUAACAAGUUUGAUCUCUAUCUAACUUCUAAUUUCCCCUUUGAUUCCAAAUUAACAAACAACCAAUACAUAAAUAAAUAAAUAAAGUAAAAAUAAAAACAUAAAGAGAAAGUAAAAAAUAAAUGAACAUAUAAAAGACCAAAGUAAUAUUAGGUUUAUAAUCCAAAUCAAAUUUAAAGCUCAAUAAAACAAAUAAAGUCCAAAAGGAAAUCAAAAGCCCAUUUCUUGAAUAAUGAUUUGAAAACUCAAAAACUUUAAGACCUCGAACAAAAUAGGAUGUUUACAGUUACCAUUUUUUGUGCAUUUUUUAUGUAACAAGAAUUGUGCAAAAACAUAGAUAACCUAUUACAUCCAGCCAUGGCUUAACAAUAAUUACAAAAUCCUAAAACUUCAAAGAUUUACAAUUUGAAGUAUUCAAAAGCUUCACAAUAAAUAAUUCACAAUGCAAGUUGAAACUCAAAGAUUAUUAAUUUGAGUUCAAAGAAUUACUAUUUCAAAAUUCAAAGGUUUGCAAUUCAAAUAUUCGCAAGGUUCAAAAAUUCGCAAAGCUUUCAAAUUCACAAAAAUUUUCAAUUUUGCAAGAACUUUAUUAUCAAGGAUUUCAUGUUCGUAAGAAUUUUCAAAUUCAUAAAAAUUUUUAGAUUUGUAAGAAUUUGAUUCUCAGGAACUUAGAUUCACAUGAUUUUCAGAUUUACAAAAGCUCAGAUUUGUAAGAUUUUUAGUUUCACAUUUGAGAGAUCCACAUCCAAAGUUCAAUUCAAGAAUUCGCAUCACUAUUGCAAUGCUCACGUCCAACAUUAAAGAUUCACAUUCUAAAAUUCUGAAAAUUCACACCUAAAAGUUCAAACAUUCUUAUUCAAAAACUUUAGAGAUUUACUUCCAAGAUUUUAAAAGUUCUUAUUGAAAAAUUUUAGUAUCUCACAUCCGAUAUUCAUCAUUUAAAAACUUAAGGGUUUCAUCCAAAAUUUCAAAGAUUUGGAUUCAAAAACUUUAGAGAUUCACACAAAAUUUUAAGAUUUUCAUUCGAAAAACUUUAGAAAUUCACGUCUAAAAUUUUAAAAAUUCUCAUUUAAAAAUUCUUAAGGGUUAUGCUCGGAAGUUUUACAAAUUAUUCUUAACAUAAAAAAUGCUCUUUAAAAAAGCUCUACCAUUUUAAAAUUUUAAAUGUUUUCCUCAUAAAACAUUUUUCCAUAUAAGGAUUCACAAUCUUAUCUUAAAAAGCUUUCCUCAAAAAGUUUAAAAUUUCUUUUAAUGAAAAUUCUCAACCUUUCAUCAAAGUUAGCAUGUCAUGAUAAUAAUGCAAUUAUUUUCUUAAUGCAACAAUCUAGAUUCUUACAAUAAUACAGAUGCCAUACUCUAAACCAUGAUUCAAAUAUUCAAUGCAUGAUGCAAAUGAAUGGCCAAACCAAAUUUUUAAAUAUUUGCCAAAUUAUAUACAUGUAUUGUUUAAGCAACAAUGCUAAUGCAAUGCAUGUAAUGCAAAUGUCAAUGUCGUGAAAUUUUAAUUAAUUAUGGUAAUAAAAUUCUCAAGACUCCAUCAUCUCAUAUUUCCUUUUUAACAUCUUAGCAUUAGCCAUUUCAGAAUAAAUUUCGUCAAUUGAUUCACAUUAUUCCCAUCAUCUGAUCACAACUCACAGGUUAUGUCGACCAAUCCAUCAUUACAUUCAUCAUCUUCUCAUCUCAAGUUUCUUCCGUAUUUUCAUUUUCCUUUUGCCCACUAGAUUUCUUUUCAAAUGAAUGUAGGAAUUUUUUAUAAAUAUUAUCAUUCGUUUAUUAUCAUUUCAAUUCAUGACAAAUAUGAUGCAAUCAUACAUUUUUUCAAUUUAUUUUAAAGAUGCAAAAAUGAAAGAAGACAGGGUGAAUUGAAAGAAAUUGUAAUCAACAAAUAAUCAAAGUAUGUCAUUAGGAUAAGUAUUUGAAUAGUAUAACAAUGUCCAAACAAUGAAUAUUCAAAUAUUGUUUAAUAUUAAAUCAAAUUUUUUUUCAAAAACUCAUUCAUUGACUUUUAAAAUCAUUUUGGGCUUAUCAAACUUUGCCCUAACUUUGGAGGAUCUUCAGAUGCAUUGAUCUUCCAUAUUAACUACUCAUGCAAAUCUCAGCUCAAUUUUUUUUUUACCCAAAUCGCUCUUUUGGGUUUUCAAUUAAGUGUUCUUUUUAUCUCUUUUUCUUUUUUUCACAUUUUUCAUUUUUUUUGCUUCAUCCAUUAGUGCUUGGUCUUUCGGUGGUGGCAGUGAAUAAGGUAGAAAGAAAUUGUAACAAAGAUUUGAAGAGAUUGGUUUUGGCUUGAAUUUUGUUUUCUAUGAAUUGUUGUGAUGAUGGUUGAUGAUUGCCGCCCUGAUAUAGAAAAUGAAUCCUCCUUUGAAUAUAACUCCAAACUACCAAAUUUUCUAAAUUCUUAUCAUUUGAGGGUUUCUAUUAUCUCAAUUCUAACUUGAUUUCAUAUCUUUUAACAAGUUUGAUCUCUAUCUAACUUCUAAUGUCCCUUUUGAUUCCAAAUUAACAAACAACCAAUACAUAAAUAAAUAAAGAGAGUAAAAAUAAAAAUAUAAAGAGAAAGUAAAAAAAUAAAAUGAACAUAUAACAAACCAAAGUAAUAUUAGGUUUAUAAUCAAAAUCAAAUUUAAGGCUUAAUAAAACAAAAAAAGUCAAAAAGGAAAUUAAAAGCCCAUUUCUUGAAUAACGAUUUGAAAACUCAAAAACUUCAAAGCGAGACAAAAUAGGGUGCAUACAAUAGGGUCAAGGACAGAGGAAAAGCAAAGAAAGCUAAAGAUUUGGUGCUAGGAACAGAGUUUCAAGCAAGAUGUCCAGUAACAGAUGCUGACAGCAAGCAUUCCAUCGAUCAAAGACCCAUGCUUGGGAAGUCUCUCCUUUCUUUCUCUUACCGGAAAAAGACUUCAAACAAGUAGCUCGUGGAACAUCUCCCACUUGCCCUUUUUUUCUCAAUCAACUAUCUCGGACUACGUCAUGAUCGGUUUACAGCAGAGACAGUCCAAGAUAUUAUGGCGAUUCUAGUAAGCCACAGUGGCCUACAGGAUGUCCAGGCAUGGCACUACAUAAAGAC
This 6209-nucleotide long non-coding RNA is filed under the name Durio zibethinus. Its description in RNAcentral is "long non-coding RNA (DZIB_LNC000747)". The record is from RNAcentral. Lineage: Eukaryota; Viridiplantae; Streptophyta; Magnoliopsida; Malvales; Malvaceae.